RNAcentral lists this transfer RNA (69 nucleotides) under Tritia neritea. RNAcentral describes it as "tRNA-His". It matches the Rfam family "tRNA". From Rfam's summary of the family: Transfer RNA (tRNA) molecules are approximately 80 nucleotides in length. Their secondary structure includes four short double-helical elements and three loops (D, anti-codon, and T loops). Further hydrogen bonds mediate the characteristic L-shaped molecular structure. tRNAs have two regions of fundamental functional importance: the anti-codon, which is responsible for specific mRNA codon recognition, and the 3' end, to which the tRNAs corresponding amino acid is attached (by aminoacyl-tRNA synthetases). tRNAs cope with the degeneracy of the genetic code in two manners: having more than one tRNA (with a specific anti-codon) for a particular amino acid; and 'wobble' base-pairing, i.e. permitting non-standard base-pairing at the 3rd anti-codon position. Lineage: Eukaryota; Metazoa; Mollusca; Gastropoda; Neogastropoda; Nassariidae. The record is from RNAcentral.
GUCAAGUUAGUUUAAUAACAUAAACGUCAGCCUGUGGAUUUGAAGAUGAAAGCCUUAUUUCACUUGACC